CCUACGGUGGGCAGCAGUAGGGAAUCUUCGUCAAUGGGCGCAAGCCUGAACGAGCAAUGCCGCGUGAACGAGGAAGUUCUUCGGAUCCUAAAGUUCUGUUUAAGUGGAAAAAGAGCGGAGAGAGGAAAUGGUCUCCGAUUGAUAUUACCCUUCGAGGAAGUCACGGCUAACUACGUGCCAGCAGCCGCGGUAAUACGUAGGUGGCGAGCGUUAUCCGGAAUGAUUGGGCGUAAAGGGUGCGUAGGCGGCCUGCUAAUUCUGGAGUGAAAGGUACCGGUUCAACCGGUACAGGCUCUGGAAACUGGCGGGCUAGAGAGCAGGAGAGGGCGGUGGAACUCCAUGUGUAGCGGUAAAAUGCGUAGAUAUAUGGAAGAACACCAGUGGCGAAGGCGGCCGCCUGGCCUGUUACUGACGCUGAGGCACGAAAGCGUGGGGAGCAAAUAGGAUUAGAUACCCUUGUAGUC
RNAcentral lists this ribosomal RNA (464 nucleotides) under uncultured bacterium. RNAcentral's name for it is "partial 16S ribosomal RNA". It matches the Rfam family "Bacterial small subunit ribosomal RNA", at positions 338 to 795 of the family's 1533-position model. The record is from RNAcentral.